CAGUAGCCACGGUAAUACGGAGGGUGCAAGCGUUAAUCGGAAUUACUGGGCGUAAAGCGUGCGUAGGCGGUUCGUUAAGUCUGUUGUGAAAGCCCCGGGCUCAACCUGGGAAUGGCAAUGGAUACUGGCGAGCUAGAGUGUGUCAGAGGAUGGUGGAAUUCCCGGUGUAGCGGUGAAAUGCGUAGAGAUCGGGAGGAACAUCGGUGGCGAAGGCGGCCAUCUGGGACAACACUGACGCUGAGGCACGAAAGCGUGGGGAGCAAACAGGAUUAGAUACCCGUGUAGUCCCUGUCUCUUAUAC
This 301-nucleotide ribosomal RNA is filed under the name uncultured bacterium. RNAcentral describes it as "partial 16S ribosomal RNA". It matches the Rfam family "Bacterial small subunit ribosomal RNA", at positions 509 to 807 of the family's 1533-position model. The record is from RNAcentral.